UACCAGCUCUCCGAGUGGUAGGGAUGUUUAUUGGGCUUAAAGCGUCCGUAGCCGGCUUAGCAAGUCUCCUGUUAAAUUCAGCGACCUAAUCGUUGAGCCGCGGGAGAUACUACUAGGCUAGGAGGCGGGAGAGGUCAACGGUACUUCCGGGGUAGGGGUGAAAUCCUAUAAUCCCGGGAGGACCACCAGUGGCGAAGGCUGUUGACUAGAACGCGCUCGACGGUGAGGGACGAAAGCUGGGGGAGCGAACCGGAUUAGAUACCCGGGUAGUCCCAGCUGUAAACGAUGCGAGCUAGGUGUUGGGGUGGCUACGUGCUACUUCAGUGCCGCAGGGAAGCCAUUAAGCUCGCCGCCUGGGGAGUACGGCCGCAAGGCUGAAACUUAAAGGAAUUGGCGGGGGAGCACCACAAGGCGUGAAGCUUGCGGUUC
RNAcentral lists this ribosomal RNA (429 nucleotides) under uncultured archaeon. RNAcentral describes it as "bacterial SSU rRNA". It matches the Rfam family "Archaeal small subunit ribosomal RNA", at positions 474 to 903 of the family's 1478-position model. The record is from RNAcentral.